AUGUCAGAUCACUGCCCUCUCCUCUUGACGUGUGAGUCUUCAUCGCGGUGCAGCGCGCGGUUCCGCUUCGAAGCCUUCUGGCCGCAUGUUUCUGGGUUUAAGGAGGUUGUGGCAGCAGUUUGGAACGCGCCCGGAGUGCAUGGAUGUGCGCUUGCCAGGCUGGAUGCCAAGCUCAAGCGGGCGGCUAGAGCGCUCCGUCUCUGGCACAAGCACCACAUUGGGAACACCCUCCUGCAGUUGCUGAUGGCGCAGGAUACGGUUCUGAUGCUCGACCAUGCUCAGGAAGAUAGGCAGCUCGAGCAGGACAAGCUAAUCCUGCGCAAAGAGCUCAAGUCGCGCAUUCUUGGUCUCACAGUUAUCGAGCGCAUCAAGGCCAAGCAGCGCGCCAGAGUCAGGGAAGUUCGAGCUGGUGAUGCCAACACCAAGUACUUCCACAUAAAUGCAAAUGGCCGCCGAAGGAAAAACUUCAUUGCCUCAUUGCCUUCGGGCAGCGUUUUGGCCACGGAGCAGCACCACAAGGAGCAGAUCGCGACCGAGUUCUUCGACCGCUUGCUCGGGGACCCAGGCCCGGUGUCGACGGGAUUCAACUGGGAUGCGCUUGACCUUCCUAGGGCCAAUCUCGAUGACCUGGAGGCUGCUUUCACCCGGGAGGAAAUUGCAGCGGCCAUUGCGGACUUGCCGCCGGAUCGGGCUCCAGGCCCGGACGGUUUUUCAGGGGCAUUCUACAAGGCGGCGGCAGAAAUCAUCUUAGACGACCUUGUCCUCGCAUUCCAGCAGCUGCACUGCAUGAAUUAGACAGGCCUGCAU
Molecule: ribosomal RNA, 807 nt
Filed under: Triticum aestivum (bread wheat)
Lineage: Eukaryota; Viridiplantae; Streptophyta; Magnoliopsida; Poales; Poaceae
Description: partial small subunit ribosomal RNA
Source: RNAcentral